Long non-coding RNA from Herpailurus yagouaroundi (jaguarundi), 4562 nucleotides. RefSeq lists it as uncharacterized. NCBI's taxonomy places the organism in Eukaryota, Metazoa, Chordata, Mammalia, Carnivora, Felidae. The record is from RefSeq and is a predicted model, not a curated record. The transcript is spliced from 2 exons.
CACGCUGGACACAGCCUGUGCUCUGUCCUGCACACAGGUGCACGUGCACACGCGCCCACACGGGUCCCUUGCCCCGAUGUGGGUCUGCACUGCCUCAGUCACCUGUAACACACCCCAGGGACACACGGAUCCCAUCUGCUAAAAUUCUGGAAAGACCGACACGCGCUCGGCUUGGGCAGAGCUCCCUGCCCGUCUGUCGCACGUUCUCACCGCCCCGCAAGUCAGACACCGCACAUAUGUUGCGAGAGCAACUGUUACUCUUGUGCAUCCCAUCUAUAAAUAAACUACGUCAGACCCUCUGAAUAUUUUUAGAAAGUUUCGGGCGUCACAGCAGAAUCCGGCAUCUUGCCCGUUCAGAAGCUCUCCGCGCUUCAGAAAAACAAAACGCACCACAGAUUUCCACUGACAUUCUGGUAGUGUGAUCUCUAAAUAAUUCAGCAUUAAAAUCUGGUCAGCUCUCCCACCUCCCCGAAAAACUCCUGCAAACACAGUGCCAAUUAAGUUGCUGAAAACAGCAGAUUUCCACUGAUACGCUACAGAUAAAGCUGGCCAUUAAAUCCCCAUUUAAGGUCCGGGCAGCGGGAGCUGCCGACAGACUGCAAAGCUUGUAAUCUCAUUGAACCCCUCCUGUCAGGAGCGGGCCUUCCCCGUUAGCAUAAUGCCACCAAAUUAGACCUGGCAUGGCAACAAGAGAAAGAAAAACCUCUUUAGCUUAAAAGUCAGGCCACAGUGGGCAACCCUGACCUUCAGCCCCCGCUCACCCACUCCGUUCUCCAGGGACCCCGGAGACAUUUACCCCGAGAAAGGAAGAGAGAAGGACAGAGGAGGUGGCCCCCCCACCCCCCGCCCCCGGCCGCCAGGGCUUGGAUUUCCCUGGGGGCAAAUUACAGAGAAUUUUCCUAGACAAUGGAAGGAAAUUUCACCUGGGCUUUUUCAAGUCUUUCUUUGGUAAUAAAAGAUGAACCCCGAUGGCUCUGUUCAAACUCUUUUGGCUCAAUAUUUCUCUUUGCCUGCAGUGGCCUCUGACUUCGAAGCCAGGGGACGCCUCUGUGGGAGCACAGAGUCCCCCACUCCGUGCCUGAGACGGCGCGCAUUUUCAAUGAGGUCAUCCUGGCUGGGGGCUGGCGCCUUCAAAGCUGCCGCCUGGAACUGGCAUUUACUGGCGCUCUGUUUUCAUAAGGAAAUCAGCGCCUCUGACAGCAAGCGCUCUCCCUCUUUCCCACCGAUCCCGCUCAUUUUGUUGAGUGGGUGGCAGCAGAAGGGGUGUGGGGACCGUGGGGUCCCCGCACAGACGCCGAAGGACACUUUGACAACAGCAGCGCCCACUCGGCCGGAUCAAACCGGAGCGACUUUUAGAGACAGAGCCUCGGGAAGGAUCGGAAGCCGCAAUGCCGGUGUGCAUCCUGGUUCAAAGGACAUUGGUCUUUUUUCAAAAAUAACCAGUUAGCAAUUUAAAAGAGCUUUCUCCCCAAGUGAAAAGUAAUGGUUUUGUUCUUUUGUUCCCCUGAAAAAAUAAAAAUGGUUUCAGGCCAAAAGUUAGAGGAUUAUGUUCCAAAGUUGGCGUUCAUGUCUCCAGGAAGCUUCGGACCAGGAGAGACCAGACACGGUUCCUCCCUCAGAAGUCCUAUGUCCCACUCUUCCUUUGCCUGCAUUUCAAACAUCUGUGAUUGCACAGACCAGAAGCUUCUAAAAGUCACGGCGGAGCUUAAGGGAGAGAAGGAGAGACAGAGACACAGACGCGGGGAGAGACAGAGAGAGGGAGAGAGAGAAAGACGGAGAGAGCGCUUCUCCUUCUGUGCCGGAGCCAUUCACUCGCCCCGCAGGAAGCAGUCAGCGAACGUCUGAAUCAAUUCCGCUUUGCGAAAAGGAGAGAAAAGCCGAGAUGCUUGCGAGGGGGAACCUUCUGGGCCUCCUGGAGCAGCGAGCACUCUGCCCCGCGGUGCCCCUGGCCUGCCCCUCGCCAGCGGGCUCCGGCCACCCAGGCGCCUCCUGUGACUCACCUGCUCCUGUUCCCAGGCCCACGCAGCAGGAAGGGACUCUCAGCGCUUCUAGAAGCCGCGGCCCUCUCCGCCGUGGACAUUACCUGCCGCGGAGGCCAGCUCUUGGGUGCUGCCAGCCCCCUCAAGUUCUGAAUCCUACCCCCCAUUUUUUUUUUUUUUUUUUUUUGGCUCCUCGACAGAAGUUAGCUGCAAUUGGUAGCAGAAACCGCCUCAGUGUUUCUUUCCACUUCCCAGGGCCGCAGUGGAUGGAUGAAGCCCCUGCCUGGCCGAGCCUUUCUGCAAUGGAGUGGUUUAUUUAAUUUGUCAGUAUAAUGGGAGCGGCUGAAUGAGAGACAGAGAAUGCACUGUGGUAUAAAAGAAACAAAGGCUAAAAGUACCACUAUUUUGAUUCCCUUUUUAAAAUUACUUCCAAAGUGUGGUAUCUAUUGUGAAGAAUAGUGCUGAACAAAGCACAGUGUCUUGGCAAUAUUCACAGGGGCUUAUUCACCCACAGCAAGCUCUGUCUGUACAUUCAGAGGUAGAAUACACUUAUAAAUGAUGUAUUGGAAGGACUGUAGCUCCCAUUGUGUCCCCAGUGUAAACAAAAAGGCAGACAGGAGCUGAAUGGCAUAUGGGCAGCGAGGCCACGCUGGAUGCAACCAUUCCCCCAGCCGUGGGGGGGGGGGGCACGCUGGGUCAGCUCAGGUGCCGCCCGGGGCGGGGGGCGCCCUGAUUCCUCCUCUUCAUCCCUCACCCCCGAUGUAGAUAGAUCUGCAGGGCUUUCCGGAAGGUUCGCUCAGGCAGCACAGGCUGGGGAUGCACCCUGCUGUCCACACUCUCAGGUAGAAGGGGCACCUUAGCCUUUCUACAACUUCCGGAAUGUUCCACGUAGAGGAUGCCAGUCUCCCUGUGGGUAGCAGUGGCUGUACGUCCCGCACACUUGACGGUGGCCUGCAGCGGGGACCAGCAGGGGAGCCGGGGUGGGAUUCUGCGGCCACGGUGAAGCUGUGCAUCCUGCCAGUCGGUGGGCUGGGUGGUUCGGCGUAACCUUUCGCGUGCAGCUGCUACGGAUUUCUCCAGUAAACGGCCCCCAGUGCACACGUGGGAAAACGGGCCUGCAGGUUACACGCUGUAAACUCCGACUUCCCGGGCCAAUCUGAGGAGGGAGCACGUUUUGAAUAUUGGUCUUCUUCUGGUGACACAUCUUCAGACACUCAUGCCAACAGGAAAAACAAUUUAGCAUUUUUGCUGUGACGGGGAAAGGCAGUGGACGUCUUGCCCGGAAGGUGCUGUGCUGGGAUUCUGGACACCUGCCUCAGAGAGCGUCCUCACGCUGGGUCUGCACACGCUCACCCCACGUGGGCCGUCCGUCCCCAUUCGAGGGAUGAGCUGCAGCUGGACACCUGACCAUGUGCCACUUGCAAGGAGCAUAUCUGGAAUUAUAUCAACUGAGGGAUUCGUGUUUUGCCAUGGAAGUUGCUGUUUUCCUGCGCAGAACGACCGCUGUGGUCGCGGGAAGAGAGGCACGGCCGGCACGCGGUCGUGCGUGUGCGCCACGGUGAACGUGAACCCAGAGCAGUGACGGACAGUGGGAACCCACGGCCGGCUCCUCCUCCCGCAGGCUCGUGCGGGCCUCAGGCGCAGAAUCCCCCACACUUCGCGUUUUCCAAACCAGCAUGCCGAGGCGCUCAGAGGUCGGGGGCUUUGCAAGACCACGAAGGCAUGCUUAGCGGGAAAUGUGCAGCCCCAGCCCUGCCUGUGCGUGGUGGGCAAUCUUCAGUUACUCCUUUUGGGUGGUCUGGCCCCACACUUGACUGUUUCGUUCCAAUUCUGUAAGCGAACGUGCCUUACUUUAGGCUGAAAGAUACCAACAGCUCAUACAUCCAGCUGUUUUGUCAGUAUUGUUUCCCGACACACAUUUCUAAAAAAUUUUAUCUCAUUACUGCAAGUUUGUACUUUUCGACCACCCUCACCAUUUCACUCCCCCUCCCUUCUGGCAAUCUAUCCUCUGUUUCUAUGAGUUCAGUUUUUUUUUAGAUGCCACAAAUAAGAAGUUAUAGAAUAUUUGUCUUUCUCUAUCUGAUUGAUCUCAUUUAGGAUAAUGUCCCCAGGGCCCAUCCGUGUUAUUGCAAAUGGCGGAACUUCCUGCUGAUUAAUAUUCCAUGGAUGUACACACCACACCUUCUUCAUCCAUUUGCCUGUCGGUGGGCACUGAGCCCGUCUCCGUGUCCCGGACAUUGCUCUCCUUCUUGACUGUUAUACAUUGCGGUCUCAACCAGGCAGAGGACGUCAGGCGUCUACCCGUCUCACUCCCAGAUUCUCACAUGUGAUGUGCAAGAAUCCACAUUUUCACAACGGACGUGCGCGUGGAGGGAUCUGAAAGUGUCUUCAAGAGCUCACAUAGCACGAUCACUUCAUGAUGUAUUUCCUGAGUUUCAUUUCACAUUAUUGGGCUCUGGGAUGUCUAGAUUUCUGAACAAGGAUUUGUUUCCCGAGGACAACUAACCAAAGGAGAAAUUCAUGUUAUUAGCUGAGCGCUGCCUGUUUCACUGGAUUAAAGAGCAAACCCAUUAAAAAAAAAAA